GAUGAACGCUAGCGGCAGGCUUAACACAUGCAAGUCGAGGGGCAGCACGUCUUCGGAUGGUGGCGACCGGCGCACGGGUGCGUAACGCGUAUACAACCUACCUUAUAGAGGGGAAUAGCCCAGAGAAAUUUGGAUUAAUGCCCCAUAGUAUUAUUGAAUAGCAUUAUUUGAUGAUUAAACAUUUAUGGCUAUAAGAUGGGUAUGUGUUCUAUUAGCUAGAUGGUAAGGUAACGGCUUACCAUGGCAACGAUAGAUAGGGGUCCUGAGAGGGAGAUCCCCCACACUGGUACUGAGACACGGACCAGACUCCUACGGGAGGCAGCAGUGAGGAAUAUUGGACAAUGGGCGAGAGCCUGAUCCAGCCAUGCCGCGUGCAGGAAGACGGCCCUAUGGGUUGUAAACUGCUUUUAUACGGGAAGAAACACUCCUUCGUGAAGGAGCUUGACGGUACCGUAAGAAUAAGGAUCGGCUAACUCCGUGCCAGCAGCCGC
This 491-nucleotide ribosomal RNA is filed under the name uncultured bacterium. RNAcentral describes it as "bacterial SSU rRNA". It matches the Rfam family "Bacterial small subunit ribosomal RNA", at positions 28 to 518 of the family's 1533-position model. The record is from RNAcentral.